ACUCUUUCUCUGUUGCACUACUGUCAAACGUUGCAGCUAGCAGUGCAAUAAUGAAAGGGCGU
RNAcentral lists this microRNA precursor (62 nucleotides) under Gekko japonicus. Its description in RNAcentral is "Gja-Mir-130-P4a_pre stem-loop". The record is from RNAcentral. Lineage: Eukaryota; Metazoa; Chordata; Lepidosauria; Squamata; Gekkonidae.